This 392-nucleotide ribosomal RNA is filed under the name uncultured Gammaproteobacteria bacterium. RNAcentral describes it as "bacterial SSU rRNA". It matches the Rfam family "Bacterial small subunit ribosomal RNA", at positions 370 to 779 of the family's 1533-position model. Lineage: Bacteria; Pseudomonadati; Pseudomonadota; Gammaproteobacteria. The record is from RNAcentral.
AAUGGGCGCAAGCCUGAUCCAGCCAUGCCGCGUGAGUGAUGAAGGCCCUAGGGUCGUAAAGCUCUUUCGCCUGUGAAGAUAAUGACGGUAGCAGGUAAAGAAACCCCGGCUAACUCCGUGCCAGCAGCCGCGGUAAUACGGAGGGGGUUAGCGUUGUUCGGAAUUACUGGGCGUAAAGCGCGCGUAGGCGGAUUAGUAAGUCAGAGGUGAAAUCCCAGGGCUCAACCCUGGAACUGCCUUUGAUACUGCUAGUCUUGAGUUCGAGAGAGGUAAGUGGAAUUCCGAGUGUAGAGGUGAAAUUCGUAGAUAUUCGGAGGAACACCAGUGGCGAAGGCGGCUUACUGGCUCGAUACUGACGCUGAGGUGCGAAAGUGUGGGGAGCAAACAGGAUU